RNAcentral lists this long non-coding RNA (3961 nucleotides) under Salvia miltiorrhiza (redroot sage). RNAcentral describes it as "long non-coding RNA (SMIL_LNC007613)". The record is from RNAcentral. Lineage: Eukaryota; Viridiplantae; Streptophyta; Magnoliopsida; Lamiales; Lamiaceae.
UUUCAUUCUUCCUUUUUAUCGAUUCGAAAACGUGAACUAGACAAGGUGAAAUCUUCUUGUUUUGCAUAACUCAAAUUAUGCUCGUUUACUCCUAUGUAAUCUGUCACUUGUUCAUGAUCGCAUAGUUGGGUGUUUACUAAGUUCAAGAUUCUUAUAACUUGCUAUUCUAGAGUGCAUCAGAUUGUGAAACUUAUGAUCACUCUACUGUACGACAUAUCUUCCCUAUUUGAUGCAGAUGAACUGUGAUAUGUAAGAUAUGGAUGUGAACUGAAUUGAAUAUUAGGAUAGCAUGAUUACCUUGAAUGUUUGUGCUUUUGGUUGGCUGCGGUGAUGUUGAGUUCAAUGAGAAGAUAGCUGAAAACAAAUUGUGUAUUUUGUUUGCUUAACAAUGCAGGAGGAACUUAGGAAGAAACUGGAGAGGAUCAGGUCAAUCUUACCUCUCGAAUCUUGCAGCAAUUAUGACAACUUCCUCAAGCUGUUGAUGCGUAAAGAGAGAAGGAUUUGGUGGGUGAUAUAAUAAGGAGUGAAGUUGGUGGCUGUAAAGGGAGGAAAGCAUGGCUUUUGGUGGUUGAAGAGGUGGGGAACAAAGGAUGGUGGCAGCACACUUAUUUCUUUCCACUAACUCUAAUGAUUUUCCUUUAUUGCUUUAAUGAUUUUCCUUUAUUGAUUCCUUGUCGGCUGAUGGUAUUAAACAAGGAAUGGUGUUGCAUUUGAUGUGUAGUAAUGUGGGAUAUGGCUGAAGUAAAGCUCUUGCCUCUUGGGAAUUAUAAACUUGUAGUACAGUAACGCGCUUAAUGAAAUACUAAUCUUGAAUUCUUACUAAUGUAGCGUAUAUAUAUAUAUACUCGCACGAUAUUUGAUUUCUUGCUUGCUAGCAUCGAUGGACUGUAAAAUAAAUCUAAAUUAAAUCCGUAGAUUUAAUUCUCCUCACAAGCCGGAAAUAAUCCACGACUUAAGUAAUUAUAAAUAAUAGAAUCGAUAGUCUCAUCUCGCUUAAUUAAUUAACGUGACUUUGCUAAGUCAGUUAUAACUCUGAAAUAAUAUCAUUGACUGCUUUAAUAAUAUGAAUUCAGGAUCAUAAGCUGAAUUCAUAUCAGGAUAAUAAACGUUUUCAUUCACUGAUGAACAAAAAUAAACACUCAUUACUGGAUUUAAAAUAUAUAAAAGAGCGGGUCACUACAUAAACUGAGCCCAAUUGAAAAUUAAUGGCCCAAACUGAAACAAAAAUAAACAAAAACUCGGCCCAAUACUCAAACCUAGCCUAGCCCAAAACUCCCUCCCUUCUUCUCCCCCCAUCAGCCGCACACACACUCACAACUGCAGAUAAUUGCGUUUGUCCCACGAUUUGUUGCCGUUUCCAGUUAGCCCGUUGAGUAGCCUACUUUAGUAACUCCUUCUCUCUCUAGCGGUGAAUCUUCAACAGCCCUGAUACCUCCGGGACUUAGGGACGACGACGAGCGCCGUCGACUCCCUCUCUCUCUCUGAAUCAGUCCGGCGAGCAACCAUGAAGGUCGUCGCCGUCCUCUCCUUCGGUUCUCUCUCAAAUCUCCCCCCCUGUUAACAGAUCUGGAGGGCGCGGUCAGUGGCUCCACGCCACCACCGUCCGAGUCGUCUCCCUCCUUGGAAACGGCGAGAUCGCCGCUCCCUCCCUCUCUCUCUGCUCUCCCUCCGUCCGUGGCCGGACGACAGCGGCAGGGCCGCCGCGCCCUGACCUCCACAAAUCCCCAGCCCAGACCAGCCACCGCCCCAGCCCCUGUUCCCGAUUGCCGAAGUGUCGCAGCCCGCCUUAACUAAGGAUAGUUAAGCCGAGUGAUCUACGACUAGGGAUGGGGUUAAAGAAUAAGGGGAAGAAAGGGGCAUCAUUUGGAACCGUAAAUCUUACUCAACUUAAGAAAACUCGUCGUAUCUACUCAUUAAUACUCAAUUGAAAAGAGUCUAUGAAAGACAACAUAAAAACUUAAUUAAUACUCCCUCCGUCCGCGAUAUCGUUUCCACAUUUGCCAUUUCGGUCCGUCCGCGAUAUCGUUUCCACUUCCAUUUAUAGAAGUAGGGUCCACAAACUUCCACUCACAAUAAUAGUGGGACCCAAACUCCACUCACUACAUAUGCACUACUAUCCACUAAUUUUCUUAAAACCCGCGCCGUCCACAAUGUGAAAACGAUAUCGCGGACGAAGGGAGUAUCAUUAAUCAAGUUAUACAUCAGAUGAAACCAUUAUCUUAAGACUCAAAGUAUGACAUAACAUACUAUAACAUCAACAACAUCUUGCAGCGGAAAGUAGCUAGACAUAUGUAUGAAGACAUAUUCUAGACAGGUUAACUAUUUAUUAACAACCCUGGAGACUCCGCCCAUUGCAGCACCAUCACCACAUCAGCUCAACCUGCACAUUUAGAAAACAUAUGCAGGGCUGAGUACAAAAGCACUCAGUGAACACAUNAAGAGCCAAUUAAAUAAAAGACUGGCCCAAUUCGAAUUUAAAUAUGAAAGCCCAAGCAAUUAAAAUUGGAAGCCCAAUUUCAUUAAAAAUAAUCUCAAAAUUUCGGCCCACAUAAAUUAGAGGAAAGCCCAAACAAUUAAAAUUAAUCAAGCCCAAAGAAUUAAAUGAAAAGGCCCAAUCACAGCCCAAAUACUAAAAUAAAUAAAGCCCAAAUCCUUCUCCCCCAAACAUCUCGGUUCUCUCUCUCAGCAUAACACUCUCGUUCUUUCUCUCUUUAUUCCAAAAAGUCGAGCUCUCUCUCCCUUCAAGAAACCGCUUUCUCUCUUUUUCUUCUCUCAAAAUUGUCGGCCAUGCUCUAUUUCACUUCCUCUUGCUCAAAAUCCCAUCUCUCUCUCUCUCAAAGGAAACACACUGCUGCUAUCUCUCCUCACUCACGCCUCUCUCCAUCUCGCUCAAAAUCAGUCGAGCUCAGCCGAGUUCUCUCUCUCAAAAAUCACUCACGCCUCUCUCCAUCUUCCUCUUCAGCCGAGUUCUCCCUCAAGAUCAGUCGAGCUCAGCCCCUUCCUCUUUCUUUCUCGAUCUGUUCGUCCGAGGCGAGAAGGACGAGCCCAAUUUCUUCCUGAUAUUGAAAUCGCCUCUGUCGCCGCUGCAACAUCCGGGUCUCGCUCGACCUCCUGCGUCGGCUCUUCUCACUCUCAAAGAAACACACACACAGACGCACAUCUCACCCUCUCACGCGAUCUGCUGCCGCUGCCUGAGACCCGCGAAGGAUCCGGCGCAACCGCCGCCGACAAAUGUUGCUGUUGCCGCUGCUGUCUGAGAUCGGUGGUCCGCCUGCUGGAGGAACGCCGCUGCCGUCAGCUCGUCCGAAGUCGCCGCCAACUACCGCUGCCGUUUCGCCGGAGUCGCGGCCUGGAGCUGCUGCAGCUCGAGCCCUUGCUCGGCCAUGGUUCAGGUCAGCUGCUGUUGUGUGAUUUCCGGCGAGCAGGGGAGGGUCCACCUUUGUUGUCGUUGUUCCCGGCGAAGGGUGUUGCCUUCGUUGUUCUCCGGGGUCGAUGGGGUUCGAGUUGCGCCUCACGUCGCCGCUGCUGCCGUUCUCGGACUUCUCCGUCGAAAGUCUGCCGCCUCCGUCGAUUUCCCGAGCCCCGACGUCGCUGCUGUAACUCGGAUUCCGACAAGGCAGCUCGCUGUCGUCUUCCUUGAGCUCGACUAAACAGGGCAGUCGGCCCUAUUCCUUAAGCUAAGUUCUCUAGUCAUUCUCCUUUUAUCGAUUCGAAAACGUGAACUAGACAAGGUGAAAUCUUCUUGUUUUGCAUAACUCAAAUUAUGCUCGUUUACUCCUAUGUAAUCUGUCAUUUGUUCAUGAUCGCAUAGUUGGGUGUUUACUAAGUUCAAGAUGCUUAUAACUUGCUAUUCUAGAGUGCAUCAGAUUGUGAAACUUAUGAUCUCUCUACUGUAGGACAUAUCUUCCCUAUUUGAUGUUGAUGCAGAUGAACUGUGAUAUGUAAGAUAUGGAUGUGAACU